AGGUCGAUGGUACGGUAAGUUUUUCCGGUCCCUGGAGGACCGUAGAGGAUAGUAUUUUUUGGAAGUUGCGGGGUGCUAACCUUCUCGUCUUGC
This 93-nucleotide transfer RNA is filed under the name Klebsiella pneumoniae. RNAcentral's name for it is "tRNA-Pro(tgg)". The record is from RNAcentral. Lineage: Bacteria; Pseudomonadati; Pseudomonadota; Gammaproteobacteria; Enterobacterales; Enterobacteriaceae.